GGGCAAAAGAUGUUACUCUGUAGUUCGUACGCGACGUCCAUGAAUAAACCGACGUCAUUAACCAACCAUCAUUAGGUUUAGUCACGUGUGUCCAAAGUGCCAUACAGCCGUGGACUACAGCACAAGCGUCUUCUCAUGGCAUCUUCAACGCUAAUCCAUAAAUUUACUUCCGUUCGUCAAAAGGUGAAUUAGUUUGUAAAGAGGCGGCUCCUACGGAUCAACCGACUGAUUUUCUAGGAAAUCAGUCGGGUCCCCAG
RNAcentral lists this long non-coding RNA (257 nucleotides) under Hordeum vulgare. RNAcentral describes it as "long non-coding RNA (HVUL_LNC002177)". The record is from RNAcentral. Lineage: Eukaryota; Viridiplantae; Streptophyta; Magnoliopsida; Poales; Poaceae.